RNAcentral lists this ribosomal RNA (230 nucleotides) under uncultured bacterium. RNAcentral's name for it is "partial 16S ribosomal RNA". It matches the Rfam family "Bacterial small subunit ribosomal RNA", at positions 562 to 790 of the family's 1533-position model. The record is from RNAcentral.
AAAGGGUGGCGUAGGCGGCCUGUUAAGUCAGGGGUGAAAGACGGUAGCUCAACUAUCGCAGUGCCCUUGAUACUGAUGGGCUUGAAUUGACUAGAGGUAGGCGGAAUGUGACAAGUAGCGGUGAAAUGCAUAGAUAUGUCACAGAACACCGAUUGCGAAGGCAGCUUACUAUGGUCUUAUUGACGCUGAGGCACGAAAGCGUGGGGAUCAAACAGGAUUAGAUACCCUGU